GCUAAAGACUGGCACGACGGCGCGGUAAUACGUAGGGUGGGAGCGUUAAUAGGAGGUACUGGGCGGUAAGCUGGGGCAGGCGGUGUUGCAAGACAGUGGUGAAAUCGCCGGGCUCAACCUGGGAACGGCCAUGGUGACUGCAAGGCUGGAGUGCGGCAGAGGGGGAUGGAAUUUCGCGUGUAGCAGUGAAAUGCGUAGAUAUGCGAAGGAACACCGAUGGCGAAGGCAAUCCCCUGGGCCUGCACUGACGCUCAUGCACGAAAGCGUGGGGAGCAAACAGGAUUAGAUACCCGAGUAGUC
This 300-nucleotide ribosomal RNA is filed under the name uncultured Methanocaldococcus sp. RNAcentral's name for it is "bacterial SSU rRNA". It matches the Rfam family "Bacterial small subunit ribosomal RNA", at positions 496 to 795 of the family's 1533-position model. The record is from RNAcentral. Lineage: Archaea; Methanobacteriati; Methanobacteriota; Methanococci; Methanococcales; Methanocaldococcaceae.